UGGGGAAUAUUGCACAAUGGGCGCAAGCCUGAUGCAGCCAUGCCGCGUGUGUGAAGAAGGCCUUCGGGUUGUAAAGUACUUUCAGUCGGGAGGAAGGUGGUAAGGUUAAUAACCUUAUCAAUUGACGUUACCGACAGAAGAAGCACCGGCUAACUCCGUGCCAGCAGCCGCGGUAAUACGGAGGGUGCAAGCGUUAAUCGGAAUUACUGGGCGUAAAGCGCACGCAGGCGGUUGAUUGAGUCAGAUGUGAAAUCCCCGGGCUUAACCCGGGAAUUGCAUCUGAUACUGGUCAGCUAGAGUCUUGUAGAGGGGGGUAGAAUUCCAUGUGUAGCGAUGAAAUGCGUAGAGAUGUGGAGGAAUACCGGUGGCGAAGGCGGCCCCCUGGACAAAGACUGACGCUCAGGUGCGAAAGCGUGGGGAGCAAACAGG
This 429-nucleotide ribosomal RNA is filed under the name Chloroflexota bacterium. Its description in RNAcentral is "Chloroflexi bacterium partial 16S ribosomal RNA". It matches the Rfam family "Bacterial small subunit ribosomal RNA", at positions 355 to 776 of the family's 1533-position model. Lineage: Bacteria; Bacillati; Chloroflexota. The record is from RNAcentral.